This 253-nucleotide ribosomal RNA is filed under the name uncultured bacterium. RNAcentral's name for it is "partial 16S ribosomal RNA". It matches the Rfam family "Bacterial small subunit ribosomal RNA", at positions 524 to 776 of the family's 1533-position model. The record is from RNAcentral.
UACGUAGGCAGCGAGCGUUGUUCGGAGUUACUGGGCGUAAAGGGUGCGUAGGCGGUUGUUUAAGUUUGGUGUGAAAUCUCCCGGCUCAACUGGGAGGGUGCGCCGAAUACUGAAUGACUAGAGUGCGGGAGAGGAUAGUGGAAUUCCUGGUGUAGCGGUGAAAUGCGUAGAUAUCAGGAGGAACACCGGUGGUGUAAACGGCUUUCUGGACCAUAACUGACGCUGAGGCACGAAAGCGUGGGUAGCAAACAGG